AGCGAACGCUGGCGGCAGGCCUAACACAUGCAAGUCGAACGAACCUUUCGGGGUUAGUGGCGGACGGGUGAGUAACACGUGGGAACGUGCCUUUAGGUUCGGAAUAACUCAGGGAAACUUGUGCUAAUACCUAAUGUGCCCUUCGGGGGGAAGAUUUAUCGCCUUUAGAGCGGCCCGCGUCUGAUUAGCUAGUUGGUUGAGGUAAUGGCUCACCAAGGCGACGAUCAGUAGCUGGUCUGAGAGGAUGAUCAGCCACAUUGGGACUGAGACACGGCCCAAACUCCUACGGGAGGCAGCAGUGGGGAAUCUUGCGCAAUGGGCGAAAGGCUGACGCAGCCAUGCCGCGUGAAUGAUGAAGGUCUUAGGAUUGUAAAAUUCUUUCACCGGGGAAGAUAAUGACGGUACCCGGAGAAGAAGCCCCGGCUAACUUCGUG
Molecule: ribosomal RNA, 434 nt
Filed under: uncultured bacterium
Lineage: Bacteria
Description: partial 16S ribosomal RNA
Rfam family: Bacterial small subunit ribosomal RNA
Source: RNAcentral